CCCUGGUUAGCUCAGUUGGUAGAGCGCUCCACUUGUAAUGGAGAGGUCCCGGGUUCGUUACCCGGACCAGGCG
Molecule: non-coding RNA, 73 nt
Organism: Ixodes scapularis (black-legged tick)
Lineage: Eukaryota; Metazoa; Arthropoda; Arachnida; Ixodida; Ixodidae
Source: Rfam